RNAcentral lists this ribosomal RNA (253 nucleotides) under uncultured bacterium. RNAcentral's name for it is "partial 16S ribosomal RNA". It matches the Rfam family "Bacterial small subunit ribosomal RNA", at positions 524 to 776 of the family's 1533-position model. The record is from RNAcentral.
UACGGAGGGUGCAAGCGUUAUCCGGAUUUACUGGGUUUAAAGGGUGCGUAGGUGGGUAGGCAAGUCAGUGGUGAAAUCUUCGGGCUUAACCCGGAAACUGCCAUUGAUACUAUUUAUCUUGAAUACUUUGGAGGUAAGCGGAAUAUGUCAUGUAGCGGUGAAAUGCUUAGAUAUGACAUAGAACACCAAUUGCGAAGGCAGCUUACUACACAGUUAUUGACACUGAGGCACGAAAGCGUGGGGAUCAAACAGG